UGUGCUAUGAUCCUAUUAUCACAUAUUCUUUUUUAUUAUUUAAUUAAUUAUUUUUUGGGCAUCUAAGUAAACAUCGUCAGGCCAUAUUCGGAGCCUACAAACAUUUAUAAAUUUGUAUAUUGUUGUUCACAGAGCUGCACACGCCAGAUAUUCUCUUUCUUUGCUCAUCAAAGUAAAAAUAAAAAAAAAAAUUGCAUUGUGCAAUUGAAAUCAUGUUACAAUGUGCCACGAGAUGAAAGAGAGGUGGGGUAGGCAUGGUAACAUUCCGUUAUGUCACAUUUCUAGCCCACAAAUAAAAAAUAGCGAAUCCAACUUUUGACGUGUGACAGCAGUUGGCGUUGCAUUUUGGCCGCAAUUGUCAGGUGCCGCGAUAUUCGAGGACCUGUCAAUCCGAUUUCAGAUAUUUGAACAUAUAAUGGUAGAGUCAAGGGGAGCACUCAGCCCACAGCUCUUCUCUAUGAAUGGAGGAGCUUUAAUAUAGCUUAAAACAGACAGGAAAUGCAACGAUGCGUAUGCUUGAUAUACAGGAAAACCAAGCUGAAAUCCGAGCUGAAACUGGAAAUAUGAGUAAAACGCCGAACAAGAAACAGAACGUAAUAAAGAUGCGUAAUGGUUGCCUGCGCACAAGUAUCGGAAAAUAAUUACGGAAAAGCAAAAAGGAUGAAAAGUUGACGGAACAUAACCUGAAAUAUUCGGAAUAGAAACAAUUGAAUUAACCUCAACAUUUAAUAAAACUUGUUUUGUGCAUUAGGCAAAUGUUGCAAA
This is a long non-coding RNA of Drosophila virilis, 765 nucleotides long. RefSeq lists it as uncharacterized. NCBI's taxonomy places the organism in Eukaryota, Metazoa, Arthropoda, Insecta, Diptera, Drosophilidae. The record is from RefSeq and is a predicted model, not a curated record.